GGGCUCAGGGGCCGAGAGGGAGCUGGGCUUGGGGCGGGGCCGAGACGGAGCGAGGGGUCCAGGGUGUGAGAAACGGGGAGGGGUUUGAGGAGGGGAUUGGAGUGUGGCUCAAGUUCGGGAGGCGUUACCUGCGGAGGGUUUGAGGCAGGCCCAGGAGCGAGCCCACGGUCUGCCGACGCGGGGCCAGCGGCGGGCCCCAGGAUCCGGAGCUUCGGGCGGGGCCGAGUCCAGGCAGGAAUCGGAGUGCCGUAGUACAAUCACAGCUCACUGCAGCCUCAAACUCCUGGGUUCCAGCGAUCCUCCCGCCUCAGCCUCCCCAGUAGCUGGGGCUACAGCCCAGUAAAGGCGCCAUUCCCCAUUUUACAGCUGGGGAAACUGAGUUACAGAGCUUGUCUACACUGAGUCAACAGGAGCAAAUGCUAGAUCAGGUCUAGCUGGAGUACAGUGAUGCAGUCAUAGCCCACUGCAGCCUCAAAAUUCCUGGGCUCAAGCAAUCCACCCACAUCAGCUUCCCAAGUAGUUGGGACUACAGGCCCACACUACUAUACCCAGGAUCUCUCUCUCUCUGCCACCCAGGCCAGAGCGCAGUUGAUGCAGGUCAGGGGAGCCCCCCAGUGGAGCAUAGUGUGUCCAGAACUGGUGGGUUGUUGGUCUCACUGACUUCAAGAAUGAAGCCACGGACCCUCGGGGUGAGCGUCACAGUUCUUAAAGGCGGUGCGUCCGGAGUUUUUUCCUUCUGAUGCUCGGAUGUGUUCAGAGUUUCUUCCUUCUGGUGGGUUGCUGGUCUCACUGGCUUCAGGAGUGAAGCUGCAGACCUUCAAGGCUGGAGUGCAAUGGUGCCAUCUCAGCUCGCUGCAACCUCUGCCUUCUGGAUUAAAGCAAUUCUCCUGCCUCAGCCUCCCGGGUAGCUGGGAUUACAGGGGAGUCCUUGAGCAGAAGGAAGCAAGUUGCCUGAGAUUCUUCAAAGCCCGCAGCCCUUUUGGAGGUAGAAGUUGCUGGUCCCAUCUUGCUCACAAUCCUCCAAAGUUUGAAAGUUAUUUUCCAGGAGACUUGGCUUGCACUGAGAGCUGCCCUCCCACCCUCUCUCCAAAUUUCCUCUUGGGGGUAGCCUAACAAGGUGCUGUCACAGACCCUUGUCGGCCACGAUGACCCCACCCAGACCAUCCCUCUGCUGUUUCACUCUUUGAUAGUCUCUGGAGCUCUCUGGGGAGGGGUGAGACCUGCCGUCUAGUUUGUAUGGUUUGCCCAGGUCUUACAGUCAUGGCUGGCUGCCUCUCUCUGAGAACUAGAACUCCUGAACUUGGUGAAAGACCUCAGCCAUCGAUCAUGUUGAAUUAUCGGGGACACUCAUUUGAAAUCCGAGCCUGUUCCAGAUAGACUCUCUCUCUUUCUGCCCUGACCGUGAGAGAAGCCCUGCUGGACGGUGGAGACACUCGUGGGCUGUGAGCAAGGGAUGCAAAGGCUGCCGGGAAUCCCAUCUUUCCAGCAUCAUCUGCCAAGGCACAUUAGUUCCUGGGUAUCUGGAUGGGUUCUAGCAGCAUUACUGUCAUUGAAGGAAAAAUUUUAGCCAUAUUAAAGGUUAAUGCAGCAAUCUCCACAUAGGCUGCCUGGAAGGGAAGCAGGACAAGGUUAGGUUUUCCUUGUGAUGGACAGGAGGCAGGCGGCCCUCCCACAGCCCUGCCUGGCAAUACAGAUGUGUCCCCAAAAGGCACUGGGGGCCAGCUGGAGUGCUAUGCCGAGGCGGACUGACCCGGGCCGUGGGUUCACUCUGCUGGCAGCGGUUUCCCGCCAGCUCCUUGCAGAGUUGGCAGAUGGCCCAGCCCCACAGCAGGAGCCGGGAAUGGCAGAACGAGACACAACAAUUUGAUAUCCACUUGCCAGAUGAGCCGGGUGUCAUCAGUCGCCUGGCUCUAUGCCCAACCUCUUUUUGCAUAAACACUUAUGGAUUCAGCCAAGAGGAAAAGCACUCUGAUUAUGAAUUGAGCAGAAGGAAACAAAGUUCUGCAGAUAAACACCAAUGAAACAAAAAACCACGAAUAAGAAAAAUGACAGAAAAGGAGAACCUUCCCAGAAUCCUCCUGCCAGUGAACGGUCACCAGAGCAAGAGCAUGGAGUCCCUGGGUUUUGAACUGUGAGAUAAGGAAGAUGAUGAAAACCUCCCUAGCAGCCAGUUCUACAGGGCCUGGAGCUGAUACGAAAAACCUCCCUUCUUUCCCAAAUGGUCCCCAGCUUCCCCGUUCACUGAAGGCCCUGCAGUCGGGAACAGUCAGGACUUUGCACCCAGUUGUUGUGGGUGUUUGGCCAACCCUUCCUCUUGUGUGAUUCAUGGACCUGCAGCAUUGCGUCACCUGUGAGCUUUUGGAAUUGAAGACUCUCAGGGCUCACCCGGGAGGACCUGCUGGGCCAGAAUCUGCAUUUUAACAAGAUGCCUGGGUGAUCUGCAUACACGUUCAGAUCUGAGAAGUGCUGAGAACAUGUGCCCAUGUCUGGAGAGUUUUGGUUGUUGCAGCUGGAGGAGGUGGUGCUACUGGCAUCUAAUGGGUAGAGGCCACGGAUGCUGCUAAACAUCCUACAAUGCCCCGGACAACUCCCACUAAGACAAAGUAAUGAUCCAGCCCCAAAUGUCAAUAGUGCUGAAAGUGAGAGACCCUGAUUCCAUCUUAGAGCUUAGAGAUCAUCCAAGCACAUUUGGCCAAAUUGUUUUUGCUACUGUCCCAUGAAAAAAAGACAGACUCAUGACUGAUGGCAACAUCGAUGGGAAUUUUGUUUACCUCUUCUUGGUGGACUUUGGGAUACCAUCACUUACCAUUUAUGCAAGUUGUACAUUGCACACCUCCAGGGGGCGCCACCCACAUAUUUAUGAAAAUGCCGCCCCAGGAAUUGCACAGUACACAGUCUGUGGCUUAUGGCUAUAAGCAGUUGCUCUGGUUUUGGGGUUGCCCUGGGGUGCUCUGAAACUGAGAGGAACUUUAUUUCUGGCCAUUAGAGGCCCUGAGCAUGACAUUGAGUAUCCUUUCAAGAAAGGAGAAAGGUUGAACAGAGAGGACCUCAUUUUUAUAACUCUUGACCAUCAUCUAGUUACGGAGCAUCCACUUUUCACCCCUGG
RNAcentral lists this long non-coding RNA (3106 nucleotides) under Homo sapiens (human). RNAcentral's name for it is "PREDICTED lncRNA (TCONS_00195383)". The record is from RNAcentral. Lineage: Eukaryota; Metazoa; Chordata; Mammalia; Primates; Hominidae.